CCUCCACUUUUAUCUUGCAAUUUUUAUUAAAAAAUAAUACAAUUUUGUCUUGACUAUGAUUCAAACCCACAACCCUUCAACACGUACAAAGCAAUAUUUUCAACCACUAUGGCAAGUAUACCAAUUGUGAUUAAAAUUAUGUGCAAUAAUUGAUAAGCACCAUCGAUUUUCAUGGGAAAGAUUUCAUACAACAAUUAAAUGCCAUCAAAUUAC
This 213-nucleotide long non-coding RNA is filed under the name Trifolium pratense (red clover). Its description in RNAcentral is "long non-coding RNA (TPRA_LNC012532)". Lineage: Eukaryota; Viridiplantae; Streptophyta; Magnoliopsida; Fabales; Fabaceae. The record is from RNAcentral.